CUAAAUUGGCCGCUCAGCGGUUUGCCUCUAAUCUCACUAGACGCUCAACGGCACUGCUUGGGCGAGAAACAGUGAUUUCCCCUUCGUCUCUGGCGCUCAGCGCUGGAAUUUGGCACUGAGCGGUGGACUUGACUCUUCUUUUCUUCCUUUUUUCCUCUUUUCUCGAGUCUAAGUCCUUCCUACUUCACUUCCAUCUUCAAUUCUCAUCAAAAC
Molecule: long non-coding RNA, 213 nt
Filed under: Vigna radiata
Lineage: Eukaryota; Viridiplantae; Streptophyta; Magnoliopsida; Fabales; Fabaceae
Description: long non-coding RNA (VRAD_LNC008408)
Source: RNAcentral